RNAcentral lists this long non-coding RNA (700 nucleotides) under Pan troglodytes (chimpanzee). RNAcentral's name for it is "long non-coding RNA NONPTRT006852". Lineage: Eukaryota; Metazoa; Chordata; Mammalia; Primates; Hominidae. The record is from RNAcentral.
GCUAAGUGCUUCUGUCGCAACUGCAGAGAGCCGGAGCCAGACACCCCAAUGGAUUGCCGGGGGCCCCUGGAACUGCCCUCCAUCAUCCCCCCAGAGAGGGUCAGAGUAUCCCUCUCUGCGCCCCCACCCCCCUACAGUGAGGUGAUUCUGAAGCCCAGCCUGGGCCCAACUCCCACAGAGCCACCCCCUCCCUACAGCUUCAGGCCUGAAGAAUAUACCGGGGAUCAGAGGGGCAUUGACAACCUGGCCUUCUGAGUCACCUCCUGCCUGGAAUCUUGCCAUCAGCAACCUCCUCCCCAGUGCCUCCUGGAUCAAGCUAGAGACUGCUGGCACCCCAGGAAUGUCCCUGCCCAUCCUGCCGUGUCUCUGUUCAUUCUUGGAUUUAACUUAUUACUUUUUCUGCCUCUGUUUCCACCCCAGCUGCCUCUCUUGUCCUGAGGGUUAGGCUGGAGUGACAGUUUCCGCCCACCCCCCAACCCAAGAAAGAGGCUGCCGGAAAGAAAAUGCUGACCAUUGGAGGUGCCCAACAGUAGAAUGGGCUACUGUGAGGGGUAGUAAGAGCCCCAUUUCUGGAGGUAUGCAAAUCUUGACUGGACAGCCAGCUCUGAGAUUUUAUCAGGGCACUUCUAUACCUGUGGAACAUUGGACUGGAUGAGCCCUGAGCCAGCUUCCACUCCUACCUGAAUAGAGAACUCACUGC